UUGGAGGGCAAGUCUGGUGCCAGCAGCCGCGGUAAUUCCAGCUCCAAUAGCGUAUAUUAAAGUUGUUGCAGUUAAAAAGCUCGUAGUUGAAUUUCGGGAUCAAUUUAUUGGUCGUGCUAUUGUACGUACUGGUAUUAUUGAUUCCUACCUUCUGACGAACCAUGAUGUCAUUAAUUUGGUGUCAUGGGGAAUCAGGACUGUUACUUUGAAAAAAUUAGAGUGUUUAAAGCAGGCUCACGCUUGAAUACAUUAGUAUGGAAUAACGAAAUAGGACGUUUGAUUCUAUUUUGUUGGUUUCUAGGAUCGACGUAAUGAUUAAUAGGGAUAGUUGGGGGCAUUAGUAUUCAAUUGUCAGAGGUGAAAUUCUUGGAUUUAUUGAAGACUAACUACUGCGAAAGCAUUUGCCAAGGAUGUUUUCAUUAAUCAAGAACGAAAGUUAGGGGAUCGAAGACGAUCAGAUACCGUCGUAGUCUUAACCAUAAACUAUGCCGACUAGGGAUCGGAUGAUGUUAAUUUUUUAAUGACUCAUUCGGCGCCUUACGGGAAAC
RNAcentral lists this ribosomal RNA (548 nucleotides) under uncultured Glomus. RNAcentral's name for it is "SSU rRNA". It matches the Rfam family "Eukaryotic small subunit ribosomal RNA", at positions 548 to 1098 of the family's 1831-position model. The record is from RNAcentral. Lineage: Eukaryota; Fungi; Glomeromycota; Glomeromycetes; Glomerales; Glomeraceae.